RNAcentral lists this ribosomal RNA (1489 nucleotides) under Lactiplantibacillus pentosus. Its description in RNAcentral is "bacterial SSU rRNA". It matches the Rfam family "Bacterial small subunit ribosomal RNA". The record is from RNAcentral. Lineage: Bacteria; Bacillati; Bacillota; Bacilli; Lactobacillales; Lactobacillaceae.
GACGAACGCUGGCGGCGUGCCUAAUACAUGCAAGUCGAACGAACUCUGGUAUUGAUUGGUGCUUGCAUCAUGAUUUACAUUUGAGUGAGUGGCGAACUGGUGAGUAACACGUGGGAAACCUGCCCAGAAGCGGGGGAUAACACCUGGAAACAGAUGCUAAUACCGCAUAACAACUUGGACCGCAUGGUCCGAGUUUGAAAGAUGGCUUCGGCUAUCACUUUUGGAUGGUCCCGCGGCGUAUUAGCUAGAUGGUGAGGUAACGGCUCACCAUGGCAAUGAUACGUAGCCGACCUGAGAGGGUAAUCGGCCACAUUGGGACUGAGACACGGCCCAAACUCCUACGGGAGGCAGCAGUAGGGAAUCUUCCACAAUGGACGAAAGUCUGAUGGAGCAACGUCGCGUGAGUGAAGAAGGGUUUCGGCUCGUAAAACUCUGUUGUUAAAGAAGAACAUAUCUGAGAGUAACUGUUCAGGUAUUGACGGUAUUUAACCAGAAAGCCACGGCUAACUACGUGCCAGCAGCCGCGGUAAUACGUAGGUGGCAAGCGUUGUCCGGAUUUAUUGGGCGUAAAGCGAGCGCAGGCGGUUUUUUAAGUCUGAUGUGAAAGCCUUCGGCUCAACCGAAGAAGUGCAUCGGAAACUGGGAAACUUGAGUGCAGAAGAGGACAGUGGAACUCCAUGUGUAGCGGUGAAAUGCGUAGAUAUAUGGAAGAACACCAGUGGCGAAGGCGGCUGUCUGGUCUGUAACUGACGCUGAGGCUCGAAAGUAUGGGUAGCAAACAGGAUUAGAUACCCUGGUAGUCCAUACCGUAAACGAUGAAUGCUAAGUGUUGGAGGGUUUCCGCCCUUCAGUGCUGCAGCUAACGCAUUAAGCAUUCCGCCUGGGGAGUACGGCCGCAAGGCUGAAACUCAAAGGAAUUGACGGGGGCCCGCACAAGCGGUGGAGCAUGUGGUUUAAUUCGAAGCUACGCGAAGAACCUUACCAGGUCUUGACAUACUAUGCAAAUCUAAGAGAUUAGACGUUCCCUUCGGGGACAUGGAUACAGGUGGUGCAUGGUUGUCGUCAGCUCGUGUCGUGAGAUGUUGGGUUAAGUCCCGCAACGAGCGCAACCCUUAUUAUCAGUUGCCAGCAUUAAGUUGGGCACUCUGGUGAGACUGCCGGUGACAAACCGGAGGAAGGUGGGGAUGACGUCAAAUCAUCAUGCCCCUUAUGACCUGGGCUACACACGUGCUACAAUGGAUGGUACAACGAGUUGCGAACUCGCGAGAGUAAGCUAAUCUCUUAAAGCCAUUCUCAGUUCGGAUUGUAGGCUGCAACUCGCCUACAUGAAGUCGGAAUCGCUAGUAAUCGCGGAUCAGCAUGCCGCGGUGAAUACGUUCCCGGGCCUUGUACACACCGCCCGUCACACCAUGAGAGUUUGUAACACCCAAAGUCGGUGGGGUAACCUUUUAGGAACCAGCCGCCUAAGGUGGGACAGAUGAUUAGGGUG